CCUACGGGUGGCAGCAGUGAGGAAUAUUGGUCAAUGGACGCAAGUCUGAACCAGCCAUGCCGCGUGCAGGAUGACGGCUCUAUGAGUUGUAAACUGCUUUUGUACGAGGGUAAACCCCGAUACGUGUAUCGGGUUGAAAGUACCGUACGAAUAAGGAUCGGCUAACUCCGUGCCAGCAGCCGCGGUAAUACGGAGGAUCCGAGCGUUAUCCGGAUUUAUUGGGUUUAAAGGGUGCGUAGGCGGUUUGAUAAGUUAGAGGUGAAAUGUCGGGGCUCAACCCCGAAACUGCCUCUAAUACUGUUAGACUAGAGAAUGGUUGCGGUAGGCGGAAUGUAUGGUGUAGCGGUGAAAUGCUUAGAGAUCAGACAGAACACCGAUUGCGAAGGCAGCUUACCAAGCUAUAUCUGACGUUGAGGCACGAAAGCGUGGGUAGCAAACAGGAUUAGAUACCCGUGUAGUC
RNAcentral lists this ribosomal RNA (460 nucleotides) under uncultured bacterium. RNAcentral's name for it is "partial 16S ribosomal RNA". It matches the Rfam family "Bacterial small subunit ribosomal RNA", at positions 338 to 795 of the family's 1533-position model. The record is from RNAcentral.